Molecule: ribosomal RNA, 660 nt
Filed under: uncultured bacterium
Lineage: Bacteria
Description: bacterial SSU rRNA
Rfam family: Bacterial small subunit ribosomal RNA
Source: RNAcentral
AGUGGCGGACGGGUGAGUAACGCGUGAGAAUCUGCCUUGGGGUCGGGGACAACCACUGGAAACGGUGGCUAAUACCGGAUACGCCUUCGGGUAAAAGAUUUAUUGCCCUAAGAGGAGCUCGCGUCUGAUUAGCUAGUUGGUGAGGUAAGAGCUCACCAAGUCAGCGAUCAGUAGCUGGUCUGAGAGGACGAUCAGCCACACUGGGACUGAGACACGGCCCAGACUCCUACGGGAGGCAGCAGUGGGGAAUUUUCCGCAAUGGGCGAAAGCCUGACGGAGCAAGACCGCGUGAGGGAGGAAGGCUCUUGGGUUGUAAACCUCUUUUCUCAGGGAAGAAGCUCUGACGGUACCUGAGGAAUCAGCCUCGGCUAACUCCGUGCCAGCAGCCGCGGUAAUACGGAGGAGGCAAGCGUUAUCCGGAAUUAUUGGGCGUAAAGCGUCCGCAGGUGGCGAUUCAAGUCUGCUGUCAAAGCACGGGGCUUAACUCCGUAAAGGCAGUGGAAACUGAAUAGCUAGAGUGCCGUAGGGGUAGAGGGAAUUCCCGGUGUAGCGGUGAAAUGCGUAGAGAUCGGGAAGAACAUCGGUGGCGAAAGCGCUCUACUGGACGGCAACUGACACUCAGGGACGAAAGCUAGGGGAGCGAAUGGGAUUAGAUACCCC